Potamilus streckersoni is the source of this 75-nucleotide non-coding RNA. Lineage: Eukaryota; Metazoa; Mollusca; Bivalvia; Unionida; Unionidae. The record is from the annotation of a GenBank genome assembly.
GACUCCGGUGGCUCAUGUGUUUAGAGCGUCCGCCUCUGAUACGGAAGUUCCUGAGUUCGAAUCCCGGCCAAGUCA